Molecule: ribosomal RNA, 443 nt
Filed under: uncultured bacterium
Lineage: Bacteria
Description: partial 16S ribosomal RNA
Rfam family: Bacterial small subunit ribosomal RNA
Source: RNAcentral
CCUACGGGCGGCAGCAGUGGGGAAUCUUGGGCAAUGGAGGAAACUCUGACCCAGCAACGCCGCGUGAAUGAUGAAGGUCUUCGGAUUGUAAAGUUCUUUUCUAAGGGAAGAAGAAAGUGACGGUACCUUAGGAAUCAGCCUCGACUAACUACGUGCCAGCAGCCGAGGUAAUACGUAGGAAGCGUGCGUUAUCCGGAAUGAAUGGGCGUAAAGGGUGCGUUGGUGGUUUGGCAAGUUAGUAGCGUAACUCCAAGGCUCAACCUUGGAACUGUUACUAACACUGGUGGUCUUGAGUGCAGGAGAGGCAACCGGAAGUCCUAGUGUAGCGGUGGAAUGCGUAGAUAUUAGGAGGAACACCAGUGGCGAAGGCGGGUUGCUAGACUGUAACUGACACUGAGGCACGAAAGCGUGGGGAGCAAACAGGAUUAGAUACCCCGGUAGUC